RNAcentral lists this ribosomal RNA (495 nucleotides) under uncultured bacterium. RNAcentral's name for it is "partial 16S ribosomal RNA". The record is from RNAcentral.
GUAGUUAGCCGUGGCUUCCUCCUUAGGUACCGUCAUUAUCGUCCCUAAAGACAGAGCUUUACAAUCCGAAAACCUUCUUCCUCCACGCGGCGUCGCUGCAUCAGGGUUUCCCCCAUUGUGCAAUAUCCCCCACUGCUGCCUCCCGUAGGAGUCUGGGCCGUGUCUCAGUUCCAGUGUGGCCGAUCAGCCUCUCAGCUCGGCUACCCAUCGUCGGCUUGGUGGGCUGUUAUCUCACCAACUACCUAAUGGGACGCGAACCCCUCUUACAGCGAUAAAUCUUUGACCUCAUCCCGAUGCCGGGUCGUGGUCUCAUGCGGUAUUAGCACCUGUUUCCAAGUGUUAUCCCCCUCUGUAAGGCAGGUUGUUCACGCGUUACUCACCCGUUCGCCACUAGAAUUAUAAAUUCCAUCCGAAAACUUCCUUCAUAAUCCCCGUUCGACUUGCAUGUGUUAGGCACGCCGCCAGCGUUCGUCCUGAGCCAUGAUCAAACUCUGA